RNAcentral lists this long non-coding RNA (380 nucleotides) under Carica papaya (papaya). Its description in RNAcentral is "long non-coding RNA (CPAP_LNC006903)". Lineage: Eukaryota; Viridiplantae; Streptophyta; Magnoliopsida; Brassicales; Caricaceae. The record is from RNAcentral.
UAAACUAAGAAGAUUGCUAAUAAUCUCGCAUUAGCUGAUCAUCCGGUUAUAAUUAAAGAUCUUGUAUCUCAGGUUCUUGCAAGCCUUGAUUCUACUUAAUGUAAUCCUCUUGUAUGUCAAAUCACAUAAAAAAACAUUAGUUGGCUGGAACUCCAGUUUAAGUUGUUGAGCUACGAGAAAAUGCUAGAGCAAUUAAAUGCAGGAAUAACUAGCAUUAAUCCUUACCAUCCAUUAGUUAACUAUGCUAACAUAAAGGGAAAUCUAAAUGCAGUCAUGUUCCUGAAAUUGAGAAAAUUCUAAUAUGUAUUUCUUAGCUGAUUGAAACCAAUGAUAUUGAUGUUCUAUCUGAUUCUUUUGGCUAUAUUGUGAAGGACAAAACU